RNAcentral lists this ribosomal RNA (610 nucleotides) under Limnobacter sp. RNAcentral describes it as "bacterial SSU rRNA". It matches the Rfam family "Bacterial small subunit ribosomal RNA", at positions 34 to 641 of the family's 1533-position model. Lineage: Bacteria; Pseudomonadati; Pseudomonadota; Betaproteobacteria; Burkholderiales; Burkholderiaceae. The record is from RNAcentral.
CGGUUUGCGGCUGCUUAACAUGCAAGUCGAACGGUAACAGGGAGCUUGCUCCGCUGACGAGUGGCGAACGGGUGAGUAAUACAUCGGAACGUGCCCAGUAAUGGGGGAUAGCUCGGCGAAAGCCGGAUUAAUACCGCAUACGCCCUGAGGGGGAAAGUGGGGGACCGCAAGGCCUCACGUUAUUGGAGCGGCCGAUGGCUGAUUAGCUAGUUGGUAGGGUAAAGGCCUACCAAGGCGACGAUCAGUAGCUGGUCUGAGAGGACGAUCAGCCACACUGGGACUGAGACACGGCCCAGACUCCUACGGGAGGCAGCAGUGGGGAAUUUUGGACAAUGGGGGAAACCCUGAUCCAGCAAUGCCGCGUGUGCGAAGAAGGCCUUCGGGUUGUAAAGCACUUUUGUCAGGGAAGAAAUCCUUUGGGCUAAUACCCUAGGGGGAUGACGGUACCUGAAGAAUAAGCACCGGCUAACUACGUGCCAGCAGCCGCGGUAAUACGUAGGGUGCAAGCGUUAAUCGGAAUUACUGGGCGUAAAGCGUGCGCAGGCGGUUGUGUAAGACAGGUGUGAAAUCCCCGGGCUUAACCUGGGAAUUGCAUUUGUGACUGCACGAC